Molecule: ribosomal RNA, 274 nt
Filed under: uncultured bacterium
Lineage: Bacteria
Description: partial 16S ribosomal RNA
Rfam family: Bacterial small subunit ribosomal RNA
Source: RNAcentral
GGAGGCAGCACUGGGGAAUAUUGCACAAUGGGCGAAAGCCUGAUGCAGCAACGCCGCGUGAGUGAUGAAGGCAUUCGGGUGGUAAUGCUCUAUCCUAUGGGAAGAUAAUGACGCUACCAUAGGAGGCAGCCCCGGCUAACUACGCGCCAGCAGCCGCGGUAAUACGUAGGGGGCAAGCGUUAUCAGGAAUUACUGGGCGUAAAGGGUGCGUAGGCGGUUUAUCAAGUCAGGGGUGAAAGGCUACGGCUCAACCGUAGUAAGCCUCUGAAACUGG